GAGAAGAACGCAGCGAAAUGCGAUAAGUAGUGUGAAUUGCAGAAUUCAGUGAAUCAUCGAAUCUUUGAACGCACAUUGCGCCCCUUGGUAUCCCGAGGGGCAUGCCUGUUCGAGCGUCAUUUCACCACUCAAGCCUGGCUUGGUGUUGGGCGACGUCCUCUUUGGGGACGCGCCUCGAAACGCUCGGCGGCGUGGCACCGGCUUUAAGCGUAGCAGAAUCUUUCGCUUUGGAAGUCGGGGCCCCGUCUGCCGGAAGACCUGCUCGCAAGGUUGACCUCGGAUCAGGCAGGGAUACCCGCUGAACUUAAGCAUAUCAAUAAGCGGAGGA
This 328-nucleotide unclassified non-coding RNA is filed under the name soil metagenome. RNAcentral describes it as "partial contains 5.8S ribosomal RNA, internal transcribed spacer 2, and large subunit ribosomal RNA". The stretch from base 3 to 119 matches the Rfam family "5.8S ribosomal RNA", at positions 38 to 154 of the family's 154-position model. The record is from RNAcentral.